UUCAGGCUCUCAUCACCUUUUGCCUUGAUGAUGAUUGUGACAGCAGCUUAGAGUGGCCUUGUGGCCAGAACACUGGGCUUGGUGUCUAGAAGAUCCAGUCCUGCCUCAGCUGCCUGUGACUCUGGAGCAAGUCAUUUAGUCUGUCAUCCUCCACGUCCUCACGCGUAUGGUGAAGUGAUAAUAGCUGUGGCAUUGACCUCCCAGAAUUGUUGGGAAGAGCAAAUGAGCUAAUGCAUAUAAAGCACUAUCUGAAAGACCUUUUAUUGUGGCAGAAUUCUGAUCGUGUUUAAAAAUCGAUCUUACUGAUGUCUUUUGUUUUUACAUCCCCUUCAUUUCUGCAGUGAUCCCUGGCCCUGCCUCACCUCAUCGUGCUCCCCAGACGAGCUUUCCCUGGUAAAAGAGAGAGGAUCCCCAACUAACCCAUCAUCAACUUCUCUGAUAGAGGGCCAGUUCCGCGUUCAUCACUCCCCUGCACCACACGACCUUCCCAUGGAACUUGGUGCUCAGGGAAGAGUUGGUAUUUCCAUCUAAGUGGAACAGAGCAUGCAGAGGAGGAGAGCCAUGUGAAAUAAAGUGGGAAGAGAUGUGGGAGCUCACCUGGUGCUGCAGACAUUGAAGGGCACAGCAGUUCCAUCAGGAGACUGUUCCAGAUCCAUUUUUUCUUCAAUACCGAUGGCUUUGAUGACUGCUGCUUUAUAAAAUAGUUUGGCUCUUUAUCCUUAACUUUUUUGAUGAUUUCCCUUGAUGUUACAGAUCUUUUAUUUUUCCAAAUGAAUUGUCAUUUUUAUUAGGUUCUGUAAAG
Long non-coding RNA from Vombatus ursinus (common wombat), 802 nucleotides. RefSeq lists it as uncharacterized. NCBI's taxonomy places the organism in Eukaryota, Metazoa, Chordata, Mammalia, Diprotodontia, Vombatidae. The record is from RefSeq and is a predicted model, not a curated record. The transcript is spliced from 3 exons.